RNAcentral lists this ribosomal RNA (395 nucleotides) under Turdus pallidus (pale thrush). RNAcentral describes it as "partial 12S ribosomal RNA". It matches the Rfam family "Bacterial small subunit ribosomal RNA", at positions 794 to 1384 of the family's 1533-position model. The record is from RNAcentral. Lineage: Eukaryota; Metazoa; Chordata; Aves; Passeriformes; Turdidae.
GCCUGGCCCUAAAUCUUGAUGCUCGAUAUUACCUGAGCAUCCGCCCGAGAACUACGAGCACAAACGCUUAAAACUCUAAGGACUUGGCGGUGCUCCAAACCCACCUAGAGGAGCCUGUUCUGUAAUCGAUGAUCCACGAUAUUACCUGACCAUUCCUUGCACGAAACAGCCUAUAUACCGCCGUCGCCAGCCCACCUUUCCUGACAGCCCAACAGUGGACGCAAUAGCCUAACCCGCUAGCAAGACAGGUCAAGGUAUAGCCCACGGAAUGGAAGCAAUGGGCUACAUUUUCUARACUARAACAUACGGAUAAGGGUAUGAAACUGCCCUUGGAAGGCGGAUUUAGCAGUAAARAGAGACAAUUGAGCCCUCUUUAAGCCGGCUCUGGAGCACGU